GAAAUGCGAUAAGUAAUGUGAAUUGCAGAAUUCAGUGAAUCAUCGAAUCUUUGAACGCACAUUGUGCCCCCUGGCAUUCCGGGGGGCAUGCCUGUUCGAGCGUCAUUACACCACUCAAGCCUGGCUUGGUAUUGAGCGCCGCGGCCUGCCCGCGCGCUCCAAUGUCUCCGGCUGAGCCGUCCGUCUCUAAGCGUUGUGAAUAGCGAUCGCUUGCGAGGCCCGGGCGGUUCGACGCCGUUAAACCCCCCAUUUUCUAUGGUUGACCUCGGAUCAGGUAGGGAUACCCGCUGAACUUAAGC
Molecule: unclassified non-coding RNA, 299 nt
Filed under: plant metagenome
Description: partial contains 5.8S ribosomal RNA, internal transcribed spacer 2, and large subunit ribosomal RNA
Rfam family: 5.8S ribosomal RNA (bases 1-105)
Source: RNAcentral